This 1739-nucleotide small RNA is filed under the name Pan troglodytes (chimpanzee). Its description in RNAcentral is "processed transcript". The record is from RNAcentral. Lineage: Eukaryota; Metazoa; Chordata; Mammalia; Primates; Hominidae.
AGUGCUAACCAGAACAUGUCAUCUUUGAGUCUGAAGCCACUGUUCCAGGUCUCAGUAGGAGCUUUUGUCCAGCUGGUGAAUGAGCAACAAGAAAGCAGACCCCUCCUGAGUCCCUCCAUCGAUGACUUUCUCUGUGAAACCAAAUCGGAAGCAAUAGCAAGGCCAGUAACAUCCAAUACAGCUGACAUUCAAACACAACUGGAAAAAUGGGACGAUGUUAAGUUUCAUGGAGAUCGAAAUACCAAGGGACAUCCAAUGGCAGAGAGAAAAUCAUCCUCAUCUAGAACUGGAUCAAAAGAGCUCUUAUGGUCCUCAGAACACAGAUCUCAACCAGAACUGAGUGGUGGAAAAAGCGCCCUCAACUCUGAGUCGGCUUCAGAAUUGGAAUUAGUGGCUCCAACUCAGGCUCGACUGACCAAAGAACAUCGCUGGGGAAGUGCAUUACUUUCUAGAAACCACUCCUUAGAAGAAGAGUUUGAAAGGGCAAAAGCAGCAGUGGAGUCAGAUACAGAGUUUUGGGAUAAGAUGCAAGCAGAAUGGGAAGAAAUGGCUCGGAGGAACUGGAUAUCUGAGAACCAAGAAGCCCAGAACCAAGUAACCAUCUCGGCUAGUGAGAAGGGAUAUUACUUUCACACUGAAAACCCCUUCAAGGACUGGCCUGGAGCAUUUGAAGAAGGCUUAAAAAGGCUGAAGGAAGGGGAUCUGCCAGUCACCAUCCUGUUCAUGGAAGCAGCAAUUCUUCAGGACCCUGGAGAUGCAGAGGCAUGGCAGUUCCUCGGGAUAACCCAGGCGGAGAAUGAAAAUGAACAAGCAGCUAUUGUCGCCCUCCAGAGGUGCUUAGAAUUACAGCCCAACAACUUAAAAGCUUUGAUGGCCUUGGCUGUGAGUUAUACUAACACUGGCCAUCAGCAGGAUGCCUGUGACGCUCUGAAGAAUUGGAUUAAGCAAAAUCCAAAGUACAAAUACCUUGUGAAAAGCAAGAAGGGAUCUCCAGGCCUCACCCGGCGGAUGUCUAAGUCCCCAGUUGAUAGCUCUGUUCUGGAAGGCGUGAAGGAAUUAUAUCUGGAAGCUGCCCACCAAAAUGGAGAUAUGAUCGACCCAGACCUGCAGACAGGUCUAGGGGUUCUGUUCCACCUGAGUGGAGAAUUUAAUAGAGCAAUAGAUGCAUUUAACGCUGCCUUAACUGUUCGGCCAGAGGACUAUUCACUAUGGAACCGCCUCGGGGCGACCUUGGCGAACGGAGACCGCAGCGAGGAAGCCGUGGAGGCCUACACGCGAGCGCUGGAGAUUCAGCCAGGAUUCAUCCGGUCCAGAUACAACCUAGGAAUAAGCUGCAUCAACCUGGGCGCCUACAGAGAAGCGGUCAGCAAUUUUCUCACUGCCCUCAGUUUGCAAAGAAAGAGCAGGAAUCAGCAGCAAGUUCCUCAUCCUGCAAUCUCUGGGAAUAUCUGGGCUGCCCUCAGAAUUGCACUCUCUCUGAUGGACCAACCAGAACUCUUCCAGGCGGCUAAUCUUGGUGACCUGGAUGUCCUCUUAAGAGCUUUCAACUUGGAUCCUUGAAGAAAGAAUAAUACCAGUACUAAUAAUCCCUGAUCUGUGUGAUUGUACUGAAAAAUCAAAAACUAUUUUAUUAUGAAUUUCAAAAGGAUAAAUCAAAUAUUCAAAAGGCCAUGGUCAUAUAGCCCAAGGAAAUUAAUUCCUGUGGACAAUGCCCAGUCUCUGUUCAGAUCCAAAAGCAC